GACGAACCGAGCGAACGUUAUUCGGAAUCACUGGGCUUAAAGGGCGCGUAGGCGGGCGAUCAAGUCAGGGGUGAAAGCCCCCAGCUCAACUGGGGAAGUGCCUCUGAUACUGGUCAUCUCGAGGGAGGUAGGGGCGUGCGGAACUUCCGGUGGAGCGGUGAAAUGCGUAGAUAUCGGAAGGAACACCGGUGGCGAAAGCGGCGCGCUGGACCUCUUCUGACGCUGAGGCGCGACAGCGUGGGGAGCAAACAGG
This 253-nucleotide ribosomal RNA is filed under the name uncultured bacterium. RNAcentral's name for it is "partial 16S ribosomal RNA". It matches the Rfam family "Bacterial small subunit ribosomal RNA", at positions 524 to 776 of the family's 1533-position model. The record is from RNAcentral.